ACUCUCAGUGAAGUUUACUAUUUGAUUUCGGCUCAAAUUUAUCUAAGUAAAAGUGUU
RNAcentral lists this transfer RNA (57 nucleotides) under Atypus karschi. Its description in RNAcentral is "tRNA-Arg". The record is from RNAcentral. Lineage: Eukaryota; Metazoa; Arthropoda; Arachnida; Araneae; Atypidae.